GGCAUUUUAGGCACUCUCUAGAGUAUCUGCCUAUUGUACAGCAACCAGUGGGUAAUCUUCCAUUUGGCACCUGGACAAGAGAAGUUGGUGGAAGAGGAAGCAGCCGUGUAUUGUUGACAUUACACAGUGGAGACCUCCUUAGUUCUGCUCUUAAAUUACUAAUAGAAGGUGAGAUAAGUUCAAUACCUAUCGUUGAUGAUAAUGGAGCCCUUAU
RNAcentral lists this unclassified non-coding RNA (214 nucleotides) under Hevea brasiliensis (rubber tree). The record is from RNAcentral. Lineage: Eukaryota; Viridiplantae; Streptophyta; Magnoliopsida; Malpighiales; Euphorbiaceae.